Molecule: ribosomal RNA, 288 nt
Filed under: Dolichovespula maculata (bald-faced hornet)
Lineage: Eukaryota; Metazoa; Arthropoda; Insecta; Hymenoptera; Vespidae
Description: partial 28S ribosomal RNA
Source: RNAcentral
AGCGUCAGCGGCGCUGGCUCGGCCGAGCGAGCGAUGUUGCGGACUACGGAUCGCGACACGUCAUCGCUCAUGCCUUGUCCGGUGUCGUCGUCGUGCACUUCUUCUCUAGUAGAACGUCGCGACCCGUUGGGUGCCGGUCUACGGUCCGAGCGGUAGACUGUCGCGUCGCUUCGGCGCACGCGUCAGACCCUCGGUCGCCCGGCCGGCUGCCCGGCGGUCGAACUUAUAAGGUAUCUUGCCGCAAUUAUCGAACUGCGUCGGGCCCGCCGCAAGCGCGGUCAGUGUCUC